Molecule: ribosomal RNA, 383 nt
Filed under: uncultured eukaryote
Lineage: Eukaryota
Description: partial 18S ribosomal RNA
Rfam family: Eukaryotic small subunit ribosomal RNA
Source: RNAcentral
CAAUAGCGUAUAUUAAAGUUGUUGCAGUUAAAAAGCUCGUAGUUGGAUUUCUGGUGGGAGCGAUCGGUCUGGCGCUUAGCGCGAGUACUUGCAUCGUCUCCGGCCAUCCUUGGGGAGAGUCUGUCUGGCAUUAAGUUGUCGGGCAGAGGAUCCUCAUCGUUUACUGUGAAAAAAUUAGAGUGUUCAAAGCAGGCUUAUGCCGUUGAAUAUGUUAGCAUGGAAUAAUAAGAUAGGACUUUGGUACUAUUUUGUUGGUUUGCGCACCAAAGUAAUGAUUAAUAGGGACAGUUGGGGGUAUUCGUAUUCCGUUGUCAGAGGUGAAAUUCUUGGAUUUACGGAAGACGAACUACUGCGAAAGCAUUUACCAAGGAUGUUUUCAUUAA